UCGCCUCGUCUGCAACAAGGAGAGGGAGGGGAGGAAGGAGAGGGCGAGAGAGGCGGAGGUCAGCAGGUGGGAGUGGGACUUCGCCAUGGACAUCAUCACGCAGCUGCAGGACCAGCUGGACGAGAUGGCGGUGCUCGCCGUCAACACGUUCGGCACGCUGCAGCGGGACGCGCCGCCCGACCGCCUCUCCAACAGCUACCCAGACCCGCUCAACCCCAACCCUAAGCCCGAGGACGUCUCCACCAAACCCCAGGUCCAGGGCCAGCCCGGCGCGCCGCCACCGGCGCAGGCGCAGCCACCCGCGCCUGACCUCUCCGAGCAACCUAAGGCUAUGAGCCACGCCCUUGUCCUCGCGGCCAAGAAGUUUGAUGCACUUGUUGCGGCAUUGCCACUAUCAUCAGAAGAGGAUCAAGUGAAAAGAAUCCAAGAGCUACAGGCAGAGAAUGAAGUCGUGGGAUUGGAGCUCCAGAAGCAACUGGAAGCUGCUGAAAGGGAGUUGAAGCAAGUUGAGGUGCUGUUCAAUGAAGCAACGGACAAUUGUAUAAAUUUUAAGAGGCUAGAUUAAUUAUAUUAAUUGGUUUUGCAUGCAACAGUGGUUCCAGACCAUAUAUUUAUGACCAACAUUACAAUUGUGGAAACCUGUUUGCUGAAAGGAAAUUGUUCUCAUGAAUGGAUGAGUGUGGAGAAUGAAUGCCGGUAGAAAAUUUUAUUCUGUCUUUUCAAAUUCUCUACUUGUUACCUCUGUAAACAAUAAUCCAAUUCUGUCUCAUCGCUUAUGUACUGAUGUUCUGAAAGGACCUGCUGGAUUAGGAUUAGGAUCAACCUUUGUUGUAAGGUACAAUGUUUCUAGUAUCAUCUUGGUUUCAUUUCACGCCUGAAUUGUGCUUCAGUUUUGUUUUUUUAAUGAAUCUGCUACCUGCCUUCAUUGGAAUUUUUUAUAUUGUUGUUUUGAAGUCCCUGAA
Molecule: RNA transcript, 962 nt
Organism: Sorghum bicolor (sorghum)
Lineage: Eukaryota; Viridiplantae; Streptophyta; Magnoliopsida; Poales; Poaceae
Gene name: mediator of RNA polymerase II transcription subunit 21
Exons: 6
Source: RefSeq, a predicted model, not a curated record